This 241-nucleotide long non-coding RNA is filed under the name Homo sapiens (human). RNAcentral describes it as "HSALNT0409345". Lineage: Eukaryota; Metazoa; Chordata; Mammalia; Primates; Hominidae. The record is from RNAcentral.
GCCUUUGGAGUAGCUGGGGUUACAGGUGGAUCCACUAGAUGCUGUGAUUCAUGGUAGAUCUUCAGACGUUUGGUGGGCACCCACACAGGUACCUGAUUGUCACCUGGAGAGACAAAAGCAAAUCCUCUUCCCCAUAAAAUUAUCUUUCCUUUUCCCCAGCUCUUUGUAUGUUCAUCCCUCCACCAUAUAUCUUGUCCAGCCUUUUUCUUAUCCUUUUGUCCCAUCAGGUGUUGUUCAGCUG